This 1437-nucleotide ribosomal RNA is filed under the name uncultured bacterium. RNAcentral's name for it is "bacterial SSU rRNA". It matches the Rfam family "Bacterial small subunit ribosomal RNA". The record is from RNAcentral.
AGAGUUUGAUCAUGGCUCAGAACGUACGCUGGCGGCACGCCUAACACAUGCAAGUCGAACGAAGUAGCAAUACUUAGUGGCAGACGGGUGAGUAACAUGUAGGUAUCUGCCCUUUGGCCUGGAAUAACACGAGGAAACUUGUGCUAAUACCGGAUAAGUCUUUACGGAGAAAGCUUUAUGCACCAUUGGAUGAGCCUGCACUUGAUUAGUUUGUUGGUGGGGUAAUGGCCUACCAAGACUGUGAUCAAUAGCUGAUUUGAGAGGAUGAUCAGCCACAUUGGGACUGAGACACGGCCCAAACUCCUACGGGAGGCAGCAGUGGGGAAUCUUGCACAAUGGAGGAAACUCUGAUGCAGCGAUGCCGCGUGAGUGAAGAAGGCCCUUGGGUUGUAAAGCUCUUUCGUCGGGGAAGAAAAUGACUGUACCCGAAUAAGAAGGUCCGGCUAACUUCGUGCCAGCAGCCGCGGUAAUACGAAGGGACCUAGCGUAGUUCGGAAUUACUGGGCUUAAAGAGUUCGUAGGUGGUUGAAAAAGUUAGUGGUGAAAUCCCAGAGCUUAACUCUGGAACUGCCAUUAAAACUUUUCAGCUAGAGUAUGAUAGAGGAAAGCAGAAUUUCUAGUGUAGAGGUGAAAUUCGUAGAUAUUAGAAAGAAUACCAAUUGCGAAGGCAGCUUUCUGGAUCAUUACUGACACUGAGGAACGAAAGCAUGGGUAGCGAAGAGGAUUAGAUACCCUCGUAGUCCAUGCCGUAAACGAUGUGUGUUAGACGUUGGAAAUUUAUUUUCAGUGUCGCAGGGAAACCGAUAAACACACCGCCUGGGGAGUACGACCGCAAGGUUAAAACUCAAAUGAAUUGACGGGGACCCGCACAAGUAGUGGAGCAUGUGGUUUAAUUCGAAGAUACGCGCAGAACCUUACCAACACUUGACAUGUUCGUCGCGACUCUAAGAGAUUAGAGUUUUCGGUUCGGCCGGACGAAACACAGGUGCUGCAUGGCUGUCGUCAGCUCGUGUCGUGAGAUGUUGGGUUAAGUCCCGCAACGAGCGCAACCCUCACUUUUAGUUGCCAUCAUUAAGUUGGGCACUCUGAAAGAACUGCCAGUGAUAAGCUGGAGGAAGGUGGGGAUGACGUCAAGUCCUCAUGGCCCUUACGUGUUGGGCUACACACGUGCUACAAUGGUAUCUACAACAGGAAGCAAGACUGCGAAGUUAAGCAAAUCCCUAAAAGAUACCUCAGUUCGGAUUGCACUCUGCAACUCGAGUGCAUGAAGCUGGAAUUACUAGUAAUCGUGGAUCAGCGUGCCACGGUGAAUGCGUUCCCGGGUCUUGUACACACCGCCCGUCACACCAUGGGAGUUGGUUCUACCUUAAGGCAAGGUUUCAAACCCUUGACCACGGUAUAGUCAGCGACUGGGGUGAAGUCGUAACAAAGGUAACC